UACGAAGGGGGCUAGCGUUGCUCGGAAUGACUGGGCGUAAAGGGCGCGUAGGCGGAUGGCACAGUCAGAUGUGAAAUUCCCGGGCUUAACCUGGGGGCUGCAUUUGAUACGUGUGAUCUAGAGUGAGGAAGAGGGUCGUGGAAUUCCCAGUGUAGAGGUGAAAUUCGUAGAUAUUCGGAAGAACACCAGUGGCGAAGGCGGCUCACUGGACCGGCAUUGACGCUGAGGUGCGAAAGCGUGGGGGAGCAAACAGG
This 254-nucleotide ribosomal RNA is filed under the name uncultured bacterium. RNAcentral describes it as "partial 16S ribosomal RNA". It matches the Rfam family "Bacterial small subunit ribosomal RNA", at positions 524 to 776 of the family's 1533-position model. The record is from RNAcentral.